CCCUUAGAUGUUCUGGGCCGCACGCGCGCUACACUGAUGCAUUCAACGAGCCUAUCCUUGACCGACAGGUCCGGGUAAUCUUUGAAUCUGCAUCGUGACGGGGAUAGAUUAUUGCAAUUAUUAAUCUUCAACGAGGAAUUCCUAGUAAGCGCAAGUCAGCAGCUUGCGUUGAUUACGUCCCUGCCCUUUGUACACACCGCCCGUCGCUACUACCGAUUGAAUGGUUUAGUGAGAAUUUUGGACUGGAACUCCCUUGCUCAGCAAUGGGCGAGGGGGAGUCCGGGAAGCUAUUCUAACUGUAUCAUUUAGAGGAAGUAAAAGUCGUAACA
Molecule: ribosomal RNA, 329 nt
Filed under: uncultured eukaryote
Lineage: Eukaryota
Description: partial 18S ribosomal RNA
Rfam family: Eukaryotic small subunit ribosomal RNA
Source: RNAcentral